This 465-nucleotide ribosomal RNA is filed under the name Vreelandella stevensii. RNAcentral's name for it is "partial 16S ribosomal RNA". It matches the Rfam family "Bacterial small subunit ribosomal RNA", at positions 338 to 795 of the family's 1533-position model. Lineage: Bacteria; Pseudomonadati; Pseudomonadota; Gammaproteobacteria; Oceanospirillales; Halomonadaceae. The record is from RNAcentral.
CCUACGGGUGGCUGCAGUGGGGAAUAUUGGACAAUGGGCGAAAGCCUGAUCCAGCCAUGCCGCGUGUGUGAAGAAGGCCUUCGGGUUGUAAAGCACUUUCAGUGGGGAAGAAAGCCUUGGGGCUAAUACCCUCGAGGAAGGACAUCACCCACAGAAGAAGCACCGGCUAACUCCGUGCCAGCAGCCGCGGUAAUACGGAGGGUGCGAGCGUUAAUCGGAAUUACUGGGCGUAAAGCGCGCGUAGGCGGUCUGAUAAGCCGGUUGUGAAAGCCCCGGGCUCAACCUGGGAACGGCAUCCGGAACUGACAGGCUAGAGUGCAGGAGAGGAAGGUAGAAUUCCCGGUGUAGCGGUGAAAUGCGUAGAGAUCGGGAGGAAUACCAGUGGCGAAGGCGGCCUUCUGGACUGACACUGACGCUGAGGUGCGAAAGCGUGGGUAGCAAACAGGAUUAGAUACCCCUGUAGUC